RNAcentral lists this long non-coding RNA (208 nucleotides) under Elaeis guineensis (African oil palm). Its description in RNAcentral is "long non-coding RNA (EGUI_LNC081353)". The record is from RNAcentral. Lineage: Eukaryota; Viridiplantae; Streptophyta; Magnoliopsida; Arecales; Arecaceae.
UAUCUGUAUUCUCGCUCUGGUGUCUCCACACUAUAGACUCAAGACUCAUCUACCCUAAGAAAGCGAUCGUACACCAACCUUCUGGAUCAAUCACCAUCCUCAUGAUGAUCCUAUGGUCAGGAGCAGUUUAUGAGUUAGUUAUGUAAAUUCAUGCCUUAAAUUUUCAACUCUUGAAAAUAUGAAUUAACAUUCCCACUAACUCAAAGGA